UGGGGAAUAUUGCGCAAUGGAGGCAACUCUGACGCAGCCAUGCCGCGUGUGUGAAGAAGGCCCUCGGGUUGUAAAGCACUUUCAAUUGGGAGAAAAAGCUUGUCGUUAAUAGCGGCAAGCCUUGAUGUUACCUUUAGAAGAAGCACCGGCUAACUCCGUGCCAGCAGCCGCGGUAAUACGGAGGGUGCGAGCGUUAAUCGGAAUUACUGGGCGUAAAGCGCGCGUAGGCGGUUGCUUAAGUCGGAUGUGAAAGCCCCGGGCUCAACCUGGGAACUGCAUUCGAUACUGGGCGACUAGAGUACGAGAGAGGGAGGUAGAAUUCCCACGUGUAGCGGUGAAAUGCGUAGAUAUGUGGAGGAAUACCGGUGGCGAAGGCGGCCUCCUGGCUCGAUACUGACGCUGAGGUGCGAAAA
RNAcentral lists this ribosomal RNA (413 nucleotides) under uncultured bacterium. RNAcentral describes it as "bacterial SSU rRNA". It matches the Rfam family "Bacterial small subunit ribosomal RNA", at positions 355 to 759 of the family's 1533-position model. The record is from RNAcentral.